Molecule: long non-coding RNA, 1370 nt
Organism: Gallus gallus (chicken)
Lineage: Eukaryota; Metazoa; Chordata; Aves; Galliformes; Phasianidae
Source: Ensembl
CUCAUUUUUUUGGAUGUGGGUCACUGCUGCUGUUAGGCUGAAUGAACUCGGUCAGCCUUUUUGGGACCAACGUCACAGACUUGCAGUGCUGCAACUUUGCGGGUCUUCAUUGUCCUGGACGUCUUCCCGUUGGUCUUAGUUGAAAUUGCUGAAUAUUAUGCUGGUGAAAUUCUAGCUUACAGUUAAACAGAUAAAACAGUGUCACAUCAAGAUCUAUAAAUAUACCCUUGUCUGAGCACAUAACAAUGAGUAAGUCUGCAAGUGACAGUUCAGAUCUGGUUUCCUUCCACCACCGUGGGAAAAGGAAGCUGCUCCUGUGCUUGGGCAGCCGUGAUUGCUUCCUGCAUCUGUGUGAUGGAGCAGGGCCAGCCAGCCCCUCCUCGGCCCUGCAGCACGACAUGGCUGCGGUGCCAGGGGCUUCACGCCCUGCCAGCCCCUGCUCCAGGCUUCUGCAGAAUUCAAAAUGGGGCAGGGAAGGAGGACGAACUCUUGCAAACUGCUGGGGAGGUGUGUCCAGGAGGUUAGUCCUCCUAGGUCCUGAUACAAGCUCAGGCAAAGCAUCUCCACAGCCUUGGGGGGGGGCUUUUGCAGGCCUCUGUGGCCUUUGCAAGGGUGUCUGCCGGAACAUGACCUGGGUAUUUGUGAAACUGUGAGGGCAUAGUAGUAUUAAAAACAGCAUGAGUCUUGUUUCUUCUUUCUAGGAAAAAAAAACCCAAUCCACUUUGACGCAAGAAUAAAAACGUUUCAAGGCAGAAUAUCUGUUUUAUGUGAAUCCUUGUGGAGAACUCCCAGCGUUAACUAAUGAGCCAAGACUGGAACCAUUAACACGAGCAGGACUUCUGUCAUUUACUUCAGGCUGAGCAGGUUUUGAUAUACGUCAUAAUUACCAUAAUUUUCUUUAACCAUCCAAACAGUGAAAGUGCUGUGCAGCCCACACAGUUAGGUUCUUGUUUUCUGUGAGCAAAGCAGCUCCUGCUUAUUUUAUUGGUAGCUGCAGCUGGGUAGGAAGCAUUUUGAGCAGUUGGACUUCACUAAAACAGAAAAGAACAAUGGAUUUUGGGCCCACAAAGAAUAUUCAGUGUUGGUUUGCUUUUUUUUCCCCCUUCUCUUAGAAGUAAAACCAUUGUAUGUUGUUAUUAUUAUUUUUUUCUUCUCAGGGUUAUUUCUUGUCAGUUCACAUUCCACAACUAACAGAGAAGAUAUUAUGUUAUACGUGUGGCUGUGAUAUUGGAGAGUGGCGAUACACAUUACAGCCUGGGAUUCUAUAUUUCAUUGUCUCUCACCAAUACCAGGUUAGAUCUGCACAGAUUGGAAGUAAAAAUAUUGUAACGAACUUUGAAAACAGUCUUGUAAUUACCAGCUCCACAAAC